Non-coding RNA from Nicotiana tabacum (common tobacco), 4803 nucleotides. NCBI's taxonomy places the organism in Eukaryota, Viridiplantae, Streptophyta, Magnoliopsida, Solanales, Solanaceae. The record is from RefSeq and is a predicted model, not a curated record.
UAAUCCCUCCUUCUAUUCAUCCUCUAUAUUUAUCUGCUUCAGCGAUCGAUUUCUUUCUAUUUUAUAGUGAUUAAAAACGUGGUUCAAAUAAGAAAAUUGAUAGAUUAACAAAUUCUGUGACUGGCUUGGUUUCCACAGCUGAAUUGGUUAGUUUGCACUUCCUACUGUUCUUUGUCUUUGUUUUAUAUUUUAUUGCACCGGUUAUUUAUUCAAAAAAAGGUUUAAAAUUGCUGCAAUUUAUGGGUGUUGCUGUGUAUUUUUUAUUUUAUUUUAUGCUUUACCUAAUUUGUUACUUGGCAAUUCUAUAUGCUUAACCUAAUUUUGAGCUGUAAAAUUGGAGCUUAAACCUAAUUUCUUUGGCUUGUUCCCAUUGCUAAGCUUGAAAUUCAACUAAUCUUCUACUUAGAGAACGUACUCACCCAGAGCUUAUUUCUAAUUUGAGAUGCGUAUACACGUGAUGGGAGCAUGACAGAGUAGACUUCAUAACAUUGGAGUGAGCCUCUUCAGUUCUGUGGUUAAGAGUGGUAAUUCCAAUUGAAAAAGUCCUAAAUUUGUUUUUCUCAAUCCUACUCGCAUUCUUUGAUAAUAGAUUGGUUGAUUUUAGCUGUUUCGAGAUUGAUGUUAUCAGUUUAAUGUUCGGUACUUAUAGUUGCAGCCUUGCAGGUUAAGGUUAUGUGAAGGUUUUAAAUAUUAGUUUCGAGUCAUAAAAAAUGAAGGCCAAUACAUUCAAUUCUUGACAAAGAAAUUGUUAUUUCAUCUUUCCCCAAAUUUGCAAUAGGUACAUGCUUUUAUGCUCUUCUAGAUUCUGCAUUUAGUUCGUUUUGGCUGUUUUAAGGUACUAAAUGAUUUUUCUUUAUUUAGGUGCUGCAUUUAAUCUGGUUUAUCGUUUAUUCAUGUAUACUGUAUCAUUUUGUUAGCUCACUUGCUAGAGAGUUGUUUUAGUUAGAUAGGUUCUCUUUCAUGUCUGGUUACAUUGUGAGUUCUUUCUACUGUUGUUUCUGUUGCAUUCAGUCUUGUUUCAAGUUUCUCACAUUAUCCAUUGGUCUUCCUCUGAUUUUCUUAUAUAUCUCUAUUUUCGUCCUCGUAGUUAAACUAGCCCAUUGUCACUGCCAGUUAGGACUCCAUGUGUUUAGGGUAGCCUUGCUAUUGAAUCAGUAUAGCACACAUUUCUAUAUUUUACUUUAGAUCAUCUUCUGUUCAUCUUAAGGUUUAAAUGUUUAAAACGAUACUUAAACAGCUCUUUGUGGUUCUCUAAUAAUUACUCAUGGAGGAUUCUUCUAGCUUCAGGAUAUAAAAUUCUUAAGCUAACUCUUAUAUUAGGUAUUUUUCAUACUAUUCAUCCUUGACUAUUAAUAGUUACUACUUUUCAUGGUUAUACAAUUGUUGAAUUACUUAUUUCAUUGGGAACAUGCAGAACCAUAAAAAUUCCAGUUAACAUUUUGCAUGUGCAGAAUUUAAGGUGACCACUUUGGGGAAAAAAACCAUUAUCUGCUCUUGAAGUUCUUUUCUCCACAUUUAUUACCUAUUUAAGAAUAGGUCAAUGUCGUUUGGAAGGAAAAUCACACCUUCAUUGGCAUUUUUAAGAGCCGAAAGAGCCGAAAUUCAAGGAUUUGCGACACUCUAUUCUUUUGUGCUUAGGACAUACGAUUCCCUCUAGGUAUUCUGUUUAUGUUGUUACUAUAUUAUCUUAAUUAUUAUUAGGGUAAACAACACAAUUUCACAAUAUUUUCUUCUUAGUUUUCCCCCUGGUGAAGUAAGGCUUGAAUAGAGUUCUUUUGUUAAAGCCUAAAGAAAUAUCUCAGAUAAAGAACUUGCUCAAUGUAAACUGGUAGGAUUACAUGAAAUCUUGAUAGAGUGACACUUCAUAUAUUAACUAACUUUUCAUAAGGUGCCGAGAGAUUUAUCUAAGGUGAAUUGCUACAAAGAUCUUUAAAUCAUAGGUUUAAGUAACUCUUCGUGAUGCGUUGCAAAAGGAUCCUCCUGGUCUAUUCUUGUUCUUUAUUUACCCCAUAUUCUACUCCACAAUCAGUGGGUGCAUGAGUGUUCUGCACGACAUAUAAAUUACCAAGUGGAUCACAUCUUCUCCUGAUUUCUUGCACAUGAAGCUCCAUGUAUGGUUGACAGGUUUUAUUUUUCCUUUUAUUUAAAAUUUGUCGUUACUAAUUCUAAAUAAGGGUCUUACUUUGUACUCUAAUUUGCCUUCUAGCAAUUUGCAAUGUUUUGUUUUGCUAAUUGUACCCGCUGACACGUGGUCUUAGUAUCUAAAUAUACUGUCUAACUUUGUAUCUACUUGUAGGUCUCGAUUAUCCAUUUUGUUAUUAAAUUAAUAAAAAUGGAGUAUAAUAAAUUUACUGGGCUCUACGUUGACUUCCUUUUGCGCUUUCUUCAUGUUGUUGUAAUGUAUAUAUUGACUUUGUACCUUGUUUGUUGUAUGUCACUUUAUUUUUGAAUUAUGCAGCUUCGUUAAAGUAAAGCUUUAGCCAAGCCAUGAAUAGAUCAAUAAGUUUCUGUGAAAAAUUGAUUACGUUCACCAUUUUUUUACUAUUGCAAAGAGUUUUCUUUCCUUUUUGUUCCAAUAUUUUUCAUCUCCUGACUUUUGAAUGCGUACAAGGAAAACUCAAGUUUCCAGGCUUCAAUUACAAUAGAAGUUCUGCCUAGAAUAAGUUAAAGCUAUUACUUUUGCUACUUGAUUUCUUAUAUGUCACAUUCUUUGUUAUGGAACUUUAUGAACAUAAAGCCUUGACAUAAUUGUUAAUAGGUCAAUGAUUUUGUGGUUUGUUCAAUCUAUCUGUUAUCUUUUUUCUCGAUUCAUUUAUGGUGUAAACUGUCAUAUUUUUAGUGAUGUAUAAAUAUUGUAGUGAUAGAACUAUUUGGACAUUUAUAGUGUGUCUAUACUUCCAAUUGAACUUUAAAUCUUUGUUAAACUUUUAUAGAUUGCUCGAACUGCAGAUGUCGACCGAUAAAAAACCUUUGGCAUCAUCUUGCUGCCCGCAAAAAAGGAAGCAAUACUGGGUAGAAACAGUAAAACCUUUGGCAUCAUCUUGCUGCCCGCAAAAAAGGAAGCAAUACUGGGUAGAAACAGUUUCUAAAAUUAACGAUGGGAGACGUGAUCUGUACAAACAGUUGCCAGUUGAUAAAAGAGAGUUGCUUUUAGCGCAAUGACGAUCAAAAAAGCUUGAACUAAAAAAGGGUCAAAGCGUGCUGCUUGAAUAUGCCAAACAAGCUGCUGGGUUUGAAUUACCUACACCAAAAACUCUAACAAUUGUUGAGCCACCAUGUCUUAUCCCGACAAGUUAGAAGCAAAAAAUGAUUUAAUCAGAAAAAGACCCAAAGCAAAAAAUGAUUUAAUCAGAAAAAGACCCAUUUACACACUGUUUGUAGACAUAAAUAUAUGCAUGUAUAUAUGUGUUCUGUUUCGUGAUUAUACUUAAAUCCAAUUUUCUCUUGCUAAAUAUAUUUGGAUUCGGAUGUUAGCCGGUAUAUCUUCCAUUGCCGGCCCAGUAGCUGGUUGUGACAGAGGAAAAAAUAUUACCGAUCACUUCUCCGUUUUUGAACAUGGCUCGGCCUCUGGUGCAUCCUAUGACCAACACCAUACUGAGACAUCUGUCGUCACAAAUAAAGGUAUGUCAAAGAGAUCCUACAAAGUAAAAUGCUUCCACAUCUUGGUACUAAAAGAUAUUAAAUUGCUGUUGGGACAACUGAAGGGCUGCGAUAUCUUCAUGAGGGAGAUCAAAGAAUAAUUAUCCACAGAGAUAUUAAGGCUGCAAAUAUAUUGCUUACUAAGGACUUUGAAUCUCAGAUUUGUGAUUUUGGCCUUGCCAAAUGGUUGCCCGAGUAAUGGACUCACCACACUGUACCAAAAUUUGAAGGCACAUUUGAGUUAGUAUACUGUUGAGAGGAGAUUCAUAUGGGGUGGACUGCCUCAAACUUGAUUUUUAUUGUUUCUUGUGUAAAGGAAUCACAACAUUUCAAAAGAGAGCAAUUAGAGCAUGGAAUACGAACAAAGAGGGCUCGGGCGAGACAGCAGAGACCACUACUGUAAAUUAAUGCGAAUGAAGACAACUGAUCAGGUUUUGAAGCAUCACCUUAAUCUGUCCUAAAAAUGAAAAUUCCUGGAAUUACUUGUCUCUGCAAUACCGUAAAGCUCGUUAUGUUGAAGACAAACGACAACAUUGCUUUGUGAGUAGGGGUGGGCAUAAAAUCCAAAAAAUAGAAUUCUGAACCGAACCGGACCGAAUUAAUUCGGUAUUUCGGUUUCGGUUUUUUUCGGUAUUUCGGUACGGUCCUCGGUAUUAAAAUUCUGAAAUUUCGGUAUACCGAAAUACCGAUUUAUAUAUAAGAAAAAUUUCUGCAGUGAAGAUGAGGCGCUUAUGGCUUUUAACCGUGAAAUGGAUGCUAAUUCAAUCCAAAAGGAAAGAAUAUCUGCUUUAUUGCCAUCUGAAUCACUAGAGUCGAUGUGUACGGAGACCAUGCUUCUAGCUGGAAAGAAGAUGAAUGAAUGGAUGGCUGAGUUGGAUGCCAUUGCAAGGGAAGUUGAAGCAGAGUUAGCUCUAAGAGAAAUAGGAUGCAAUUUGGCUGAACUUUUUGGAUGCAGUUUCUUUUCAAGUCAAGGGAUUUCAAGAGGUCAUCUAUUUUAGUGAAUUCAACGUGUUCAUACCUGCAUUCAGUACUUAGUUGUGGACAGUGUAGUGGUAUAUCUUCUUUUCCUAAUCCAAUAUUAUCAUCAGUUUUGGUAUUUCUGCAAGUCUGAAACUUCAUACUUUUAUUAAUUAAUGUUUAUGUCACAAUUUGAAGUAGUGCUUA